This 262-nucleotide ribosomal RNA is filed under the name uncultured Oscillospiraceae bacterium. RNAcentral's name for it is "partial 16S ribosomal RNA". It matches the Rfam family "Bacterial small subunit ribosomal RNA", at positions 76 to 339 of the family's 1533-position model. The record is from RNAcentral. Lineage: Bacteria; Bacillati; Bacillota; Clostridia; Eubacteriales; Oscillospiraceae.
UUGCUUUUAACACUUAGUGGCGGACGGGUGAGUAAUGUAUGAGCAACCUGCCUUUCAGAGGGGGACAACAGUUGGAAACGACUGCUAAUACCGCAUAAUGUAUACCGGAGGCAUCUCUGGUAUACCAAAGGAGCAAUCCGCUGAAAGAUGGGCUCAUAUCUGAUUAGUUAGUUGGUGAGGUAACGGCUCACCAAGACUGCGAUCAGUAGCCGGACUGAGAGGUUGAACGGCCACAUUGGGACUGAGAUACGGCCCAGACUCC